This 153-nucleotide ribosomal RNA is filed under the name uncultured eukaryote. RNAcentral's name for it is "5.8S ribosomal RNA". It matches the Rfam family "5.8S ribosomal RNA". From Rfam's summary of the family: 5.8S ribosomal RNA (5.8S rRNA) is a component of the large subunit of the eukaryotic ribosome. The record is from RNAcentral.
ACUCUUACCGGCGGAUGUCUUGGCUCCCACAACGAUGAAGAACGCAGCGAAAUGCGAUACGUAAUGCGAAUUGCAAUUUCUCGUGAAUCAUCAAAAUUUUGAACGCACAUUGCGCUUCCGGGAUAUGCCCGGUAGCAUGCUUAUCUGAGUGUC